This 106-nucleotide ribosomal RNA is filed under the name Pectobacterium carotovorum subsp. carotovorum. RNAcentral's name for it is "partial 16S ribosomal RNA". It matches the Rfam family "Bacterial small subunit ribosomal RNA", at positions 1 to 103 of the family's 1533-position model. Lineage: Bacteria; Pseudomonadati; Pseudomonadota; Gammaproteobacteria; Enterobacterales; Pectobacteriaceae. The record is from RNAcentral.
CUUAAAUUGAAGAGUUUGAUCAUGGCUCAGAUUGAACGCUGGCGGCAGGCCUAACACAUGCAAGUCGAGCGGUAGCACAGAGGAGCUUGCUCCUUGGGUGACGAGC